AAGGAGUCUAACAUCUAUGCGAGUGUUUGGGUGUCAAGCCCGAGCGCGCAAUGAAAGUGAACGGAGGUGGGAACCCUUACCGGUGCACCAUCGACCGAUCCUGAUGUCUUCGGAUGGAUUUGAGUAAGAGCAUAGCUGUUGGGACCCGAAAGAUGGUGAACUAUGCCUGAAUAGGGUGAAGCCAGAGGAAACUCUGGUGGAGGCUCGCAGCGGUUCUGACGUGCAAAUCGAUCGUCAAAUUUGGGCAUAGGGGCGAAAGACUAAUCGAACCAUCUAGUAGCUGGUUCCUGC
Molecule: unclassified non-coding RNA, 291 nt
Filed under: uncultured fungus
Lineage: Eukaryota; Fungi
Description: partial contains 5.8S rRNA, ITS2 and 28S rRNA
Rfam family: Eukaryotic large subunit ribosomal RNA
Source: RNAcentral